GACGAACGCUGGCGGCGUGCUUAACACCAUGCAAGUCGAACGGAGAUUUAAGAGGAAGCUUGCGAAUCUUAAAUUUUAGUGGCGGACGGGUGAGUAACACGUGGAUAACCUGCCUGUAAGACCGGGACAACACCUGGAAACGGGUGCUAAUACCGGGUAAGCUCUUCAGCCCGCAUGGGCAGAAGAGGAGAGGGGAAACCCGCUUACAGAUGGGUCCGCGGCCCAUUAGCUAGUUGGCGGUGUAACAGACCACCAAGGCGACGAUGGGUAGCCGGCCUGAGAGGGUGACCGGCCACACUGGAACUGAGACACGGUCCAGACUCCUACGGGAGGCAGCAGUGGGGAAUCUUCCGCAAUGGGCGAAAGCCUGACGGAGCAACGCCGCGUGAAUGAUGAAGGCCUUCGGGUUGUAAAAUUCUGUCUUCAGGGAAGAAAAAAAUGACGGUACCUGAGGAGGAAGCCCCGGCUAACUACGUGC
This 478-nucleotide ribosomal RNA is filed under the name Peptococcaceae bacterium enrichment culture clone C1_E6. Its description in RNAcentral is "bacterial SSU rRNA". It matches the Rfam family "Bacterial small subunit ribosomal RNA", at positions 28 to 508 of the family's 1533-position model. The record is from RNAcentral. Lineage: Bacteria; Bacillati; Bacillota; Clostridia; Eubacteriales; Peptococcaceae.